This 820-nucleotide ribosomal RNA is filed under the name uncultured marine bacterium. RNAcentral's name for it is "bacterial SSU rRNA". It matches the Rfam family "Bacterial small subunit ribosomal RNA", at positions 28 to 896 of the family's 1533-position model. The record is from RNAcentral.
AACGUACGCUGGCGGCACGCCUAACACAUGCAAGUCGAACGAAGUAGCAAUACUUAGUGGCAGACGGGUGAGUAACAUGUAGGUAUCUACCCUUUGGCCUGGAAUAACACGAGGAAACUUGUGCUAAUACCGGAUAAGUCUUUACGGAGAAAGCUUUAUGCACCAUUGGAUGAGCCUGCACUUGAUUAGUUUGUUGGUGGGGUAAUGGCCUACCAAGACUGUGAUCAAUAGCUGAUUUGAGAGGAUGAUCAGCCACAUUGGGACUGAGACACGGCCCAAACUCCUACGGGAGGCAGCAGUGGGGAAUCUUGCACAAUGGAGGAAACUCUGAUGCAGCGAUGCCGCGUGAGUGAAGAAGGCCCUUGGGUUGUAAAGCUCUUUCGUCGGGGAAGAAAAUGACUGUACCCGAAUAAGAAGGUCCGGCUAACUUCGUGCCAGCAGCCGCGGUAAUACGAAGGGACCUAGCGUAGUUCGGAAUUACUGGGCUUAAAGAGUUCGUAGGUGGUUGAAAAAGUUGGUGGUGAAAUCCCAGAGCUUAACUCUGGAACUGCCAUCAAAACUUUUCAGCUAGAGUAUGAUAGAGGAAAGCAGAAUUUCUAGUGUAGAGGUGAAAUUCGUAGAUAUUAGAAAGAAUACCAAUUGCGAAGGCAGCUUUCUGGAUCAUUACUGACACUGAGGAACGAAAGCAUGGGUAGCGAAGAGGAUUAGAUACCCUCGUAGUCCAUGCCGUAAACGAUGUGUGUUAGACGUUGGAAAUUUAUUUUCAGUGUCGCAGCGAAAGCGAUAAACACACCGCCUGGGGAGUACGACCGCAAGGUUA